GAUGAACGCUAGCUACAGGCUUAACACAUGCAAGUCGAGGGGAAACGACAUCGAAAGCUUGCUUUUGAUGGGCGUCGACCGGCGCACGGGUGAGUAACGCGUAUCCAACCUGCCCACCACUUGGGGAUAACCUUGCGAAAGUAAGACUAAUACCCAAUGAUAACACUAGAAGACAGCUGAAAGAGAUCAAAGAUUAAUCGGUGAUGGAUGGGGAGGCGUCUGAUUAGCUGGUUGGCGGGGUAACGGCCCACCAAGGCUACGAUCAGUAGGGGUUCUGAGAGGAAGGUCCACCACAUUGGAACUGAGACACGGUCCAAACUCCUACGGGAGGCAGCAGUGAGGAAUAUUGGUCAAUGGGCGAGAGCCUGAACCAGCCAAGUAGCGUGCAGGAUGACGGCCCUAUGGGUUGUAAACUGCUUUUAUAAGGGAAUAAAGUGAGCCUCGUGAGGCUUUUUGCAUGUACCUUAUGAAUAAGGACCGGCUAAUUCCGUGCCAGCCGCCGCCGUAA
This 508-nucleotide ribosomal RNA is filed under the name uncultured bacterium. Its description in RNAcentral is "partial 16S ribosomal RNA". It matches the Rfam family "Bacterial small subunit ribosomal RNA", at positions 28 to 523 of the family's 1533-position model. The record is from RNAcentral.